GCCUGAGUGGCUCAAUGGUUGAGUGCCUGCCUUUGGCUCAGGGCGUGAUCCCAGAUUCUAGGGUUCGAGUCCCUCAUCCGGCU
RNAcentral lists this transfer RNA (83 nucleotides) under Canis lupus familiaris (dog). It matches the Rfam family "tRNA". Rfam says of the family: Transfer RNA (tRNA) molecules are approximately 80 nucleotides in length. Their secondary structure includes four short double-helical elements and three loops (D, anti-codon, and T loops). Lineage: Eukaryota; Metazoa; Chordata; Mammalia; Carnivora; Canidae. The record is from Rfam by way of RNAcentral. RNAcentral also lists the same sequence under 1 other name.